This 508-nucleotide ribosomal RNA is filed under the name uncultured bacterium. RNAcentral describes it as "partial 16S ribosomal RNA". It matches the Rfam family "Bacterial small subunit ribosomal RNA", at positions 37 to 537 of the family's 1533-position model. The record is from RNAcentral.
GACGAACGCUGGCGGCGUGCUUAACACAUGCAAGUCGAACGGAAAGACCCUGCUUUUGUGGGGUGCUCGAGUGGCGAACGGGUGAGUAACACGUGAGUAACCUGCCCUUGACUUUGGGAUAACUUCAGGAAACUGGGGCUAAUACCGGAUAGGAGCUCCUGCUGCAUGGUGGGGGUUGGAAAGUUUCGGCGGUUGGGGAUGGACUCGCGGCUUAUCAGCUUGUUGGUGGGGUAGUGGCUUACCAAGGCUUUGACGGGUAGCCGGCCUGAGAGGGUGACCGGCCACAUUGGGACGGAGAUACAGCCAGGACUGCUGCGGGAGGAAGGAGGGGGGAUGAGCGACCGAGGGGCGGAAGUCUGAUGCGACCGCGCCGGGGGCGGGGUGGCGGCUUUCGGGUAGUCCACCGCGUUGACAUGUGACGAAGCGGGGGGGACGGGAAAGGGUAAAGAAGCACGUGCUAACCAGGGGCCACCAGCCGGGUUAAGGUCCGCAGAACCACUCUCUGAAC